Capsicum annuum is the source of this 2504-nucleotide long non-coding RNA. RefSeq lists it as uncharacterized. The record is from RefSeq and is a predicted model, not a curated record. Lineage: Eukaryota; Viridiplantae; Streptophyta; Magnoliopsida; Solanales; Solanaceae. The transcript is spliced from 2 exons.
CCGGCCCACCACUUGUUAUCUCCCAAUAUCAGCUACAACAAUAAAAUAACAUUAACAACAACUGAUACCCGACAAAUCCCUUUGUCGUUCAACGUUAACAGCAACAUUCAACAACAGCCAACAUCGGCCAAGCGUAACACCCAGCAAAACAAUGACAAAAGUCGUAACACCGUUAGCAACAAACAACAACAACAUUAACAACACAUAGCAAAACGCCGUUAACCGGCAAAACCUCAGUCGCCCAUUUACCCCGGUUCAGCCAUCUAUGGCUAAAAAUCAGAUGUCUUUCACCAUAUUCAGUCCAUGAUUCACUUUUUUGGGUAGGAAUUAAUGCCCAACGUUCUUUUUUUUUGUCCCACAGUGGACUUCAAAAUUUCUUAAGAAAUCACUCAAAUUCGGGUUUGAAAUCCGAACCCUAAUUCUUUUCCUCCCUAAUUCUUUCUCCUAUAAAUAUAGGUUGAGGGAUAGAGGAAAGGAAGAGGAUUUGGGGAAAAAAAUUAGGGGUUCUGGAGGUGCAUGCCUUUAAACCUCACGCAACCAUAAUCCCGACGGAAAACUAAACUCAUAUAAAGUCACUGUAAUUUCGAGAGAUUGAAAUUGAGUUUUGACAGUGGUGAAGUCGUCGUCCACUCACUGUUCCUAUUCACUGCUUGGAAAAAGUCCAAUUGGACUCUGUAUCCCUUGCAUUUUCUGGGGUGCCAAAGAGGCCCAAUUUGUCAAGUUAUGCCUCAUUAAAGUCCUCAAAAUGGAUCAGUAUACCAUGGACAGCUGCUGGUAUACACAGCAUACAGAUGAUAUACGAGGUUUACCGGUUAAAGGUUGCUUCUAUAAGCCAAGAAAUGACGUUAUGAUGAAGUUGGGAGCAAGUAUACAGGUUUUAUAUGCUAAUAUACAGUGUAUAUACAGAAAAACACAAAGAAAAGAGCUAUGAUAUACAGAUGAUAUACACUUCAGAAAAUGGAUUGAAGUCCAUAAUCCCAAGCCCAAAGGCUGGGCAGCUUGAUAAAUGGGCCAAUUAAAGGCCGAACUUCAAUUCUUGUAUUAUUCUUUGUAGCUUAUAAUUUAGGAAAAAUUAAUGAAAGUAACAUAGUUAAGAGUAUAAUUGCAUUAAAUAACAACAUUUUUUCAAAAUUACAAUUUAUAGCAAGAGUAACAUUAUUUUGUCCAUAAAUUUCAAACACACGUGUUUCACUCCCUCUCUCCUAUUUUUACUUCAUUACUUUACCUCUCUCCUAUUUUUACUCCAUUACUUCACUCCCACAAAAAAACAUUUUACAUCCACUGAAGAUUUUUAUCUUCAUGAGCUUCGAAAAUUCAAAAUAGAUCAUCAAUGGUGUUAUAGGUAUUGAAUCAAAAAAUUAUUUUCGUACAUCAAUUUCAACAACUUAAAAUGAUUUAAUAUUGUUUGAUAUUGUUUUUUCAUCUUUUUUUUUUUUAGCAAAUAGUUUUUUGAACAUUUUGUAUAUGAAUUUUUAAAAAAAAUGAAGGCAAUUGUACUAGGAGAUCGAAUUAGAUGAAAAUCGAACUGAUCGAGUUAAUGUUUGUUCAAACUUGAUUUUGAUACUUUAAAUAUUUUUUUUCCUUGAGGCAAACAAUAAAAUGUUUCUCUUUGUCAUGUACUGUAUAAACAUACUUUGUAAUCGGUACAACCUGAAAUGUUUUUUUAAAAAAUUAGUUAAAAAACUCACAUUAGUAUCCUGAAAUUUUUUUUAAAAAAUUAGUUAAAAAACUCACAUUAGUAUUUUUUGAUUUUGCAUAUGUAUUUUUUAGUUCUGCAUAUGUAUUUACAGGUCUUUAUAUGUAUUUUCAGCUCUUUUAUGGUUGUAUAAAUAUUUUAUGCACAACUAUACAUAUAUCUUACAUAAUACAUAAGAAAAUACAUGUUUUACUGGAGUCAAAGUGUACACGUAUGACGGUAAUUCGUUCUAUUGGAGUAUUUUUUGAAAUACAAAUACCAAAAUAAAAUACAAUUACAUUUACUAAAUAUACAAAUGCAACUACAUCACAACAUAUAAUUACGAAUAUAACUACAACAUACAAUUAAGAUAAAUACAUAUCAAGAUAAAUAGUAUAGUUGUUUUAUACUGUGUUAAGAUAUGCAUUUGUAUUUUUUAUUUAAUAUGACAAUGAUAUGUACUUUGUAAAUACAUGAGUUUAUAUAUGUAUGUUUUAUAUGAUAAUAUACACUUUGGACCAGAUAUGUAUUUUGAAAAUAUAUAUGUGGGGAUAUAUGUAUUUGUUAUAAUGUAAUAUGUAUGAUGUAAUAGAAACAUAUGCAUAUUAUGUAGUUUUUUUUUUUUUUUUUUGUGAGAAGUACAUGUAAUAUAGAUUUAUGUCAUUUUUUGGGUCUAUAGUUUCCACGUGAUCAAAUAUUCAUGGCAAGGGCACUUUCAAAAUUUGCACCACAUAUAGGAUGUCACACGGUCAACGAUAUUGAAGAACAUAUUAAGGCUAUGUUAUCAAAAGAGCAGUACAAGAAUUUUUCGUCAUAAGAAUAUUUUUGA